This 1520-nucleotide long non-coding RNA is filed under the name Salmo salar (Atlantic salmon). Its description in RNAcentral is "lncRNA (ENSSSAG00000099378.1)". The record is from RNAcentral. Lineage: Eukaryota; Metazoa; Chordata; Actinopteri; Salmoniformes; Salmonidae.
GGGGUAGUGUAGAGCCAGUGUGCGGGGUAGUGUAGAGCCAGUGUGUGGGGUAGUGUAGAGCCAGUGUGGGGGGUAGUGUAGAGCCAGUGUGGGGGUAGUUGUAGACCCAAUGUGGGGCGUAGUGUAGAGCCAGUGUGGGGGUUAGUGUAGAGCCAGUGUGUGGGGUAGUGUAGAGCCAGUGUGGGGGGUAAUGUAGAGCCAGUGUGUGGGGUAGUGUAGAUCCAGUGUGGGGGGUAGUGUAGAGCAGGUGUGUGGGGGUAGUGUAGAUCCAGUGUGGGGGGUAGUGUAGAGCCAGUGUGCGGGGUAGUGUAGAGCCAGUGUGUGGGGUAGUGUAGAGCCAGUGUGGGGGGUAGUGUAGAGCCAGUGUGGGGUAGUGUAGAGCCAGUGUGUGGGGUAGUGUAGAGCCAGUGUGGGGGGUAGUGUAGAGCCAGUGUGGGGGGUAGUGUAGAGCCAGUGUGGGGGGUAGUGUAGAGCCAGUGUGGGGUAGUGUAGAGCCAGUGUGGGGGGUAGUGUAGAGCCAGUGUGUGGGGUAAUAUAGAGCCAGUUUGUGGGGUAGUGUAGAGCCAGUGUGUAUGGUAGUGUAGAGCCAGUGUGGGGGGUAGUGUAGAGUCAGUGUGUGGGGUAGUGUAGAGCCAGUGUGGGGUAGUGUAGAGCCAGUGUGGUGGGUAGUGUAGAGCCAGUGUGUGGGGUAGUGUAGAGCCAGUGUGGGGGUAGUGUAGAGCCAGUGUGUGGGGUAGUGUAGAGCCAGUGUGGGAGGUAGUGUAGAGCCAGUGUGUGGGGGUAGUGUAGAGCCGGUGUGUGGGGUAGUGUAGAGCCAGUGUGUGGGGUAGUGUAGAGCCAGUGUGUGGGGUAGUGUAGAGCCAUUGUGGGGGUAGUGUAGAGCCAGUGUGGGGGGUAGUGUAGAGCCAGUGUGGGGUAGUGUAGAGCCAGUGUGGGGGGUAGUGUAGAGCCAGUGUGGGGUAGUUUAGAGCCAGUGUGGGGUAAUGUAGAGCCAGUGUGUGGGGUAGUUGUAGAGCCAGUUUGUGGGGUAGUGUAGAGCCAGUGUGUAUGGUAGUGUAGAGCCAGUGUGGGGUAGUGUAGAUCCAGUGUGGGGGUAGUGUAGAGCCAGUGUGGGGUAGUGUAGAGCCAGUGUGGGGUAAUGUAGAGCCAGUGUGUGGGGUAGUGUAGAGCCAGUGUGGGGGGUAGUGUAGAGCCAGUGUGGGGGGUAGUGUAGAGCCAGUGUGGGGGGUAGUGUAGAGCCAGUGUGGGGGGUAGUGUAGAGCCAGUGUGGGGUAGUGUAGAGCCAGUGUGGGGGGUAGUGUAGAGCCAGUGUGUGGGGUAGUAUAGAGCCAGUUUGUGGGGUAGUGUAGAGCCAGUGUGUAUGGUAGUGUAGAGCCAGUGUGGGGUAGUGUAGAGCCAGUGUGGGGGGUAGUGUAGAGCCAGUGUGGGGUAGUGUAGAGCCAGUGUGGGGUAGUGUAGAGCCAGUGUGGGGGGUAGUGUAGAGCCAGUGUGGGGUAGUGUAGAGCCAGUGUGGGGGGUAG